CCCUUAGAUGUUCUGGGCCGCACGCGUGCUACACUGAGUGGAUCAGCGGGUCAGGUUGCGCGAAAGUGUUUCCUAAUCUUGAAAUCCGCUCGUGAUGGGGAUUGACGGUUGCAAUUUUCCGUCAUGAACGAGGAAUACCUUGUAAGCGCGGGUCAUCAUCCCGCGCUGAAUACGUCCCUGCCCUUUGUACACACCGCCCGUCGCACCUACCGAUUGAAUGGUCCGGUGAAGCCUCGGGAUUGUGGCCAGUUCACUUUAUUGGGAGUUGGCUGCGAGAACUUGUCUAAACCUUAUCAUUUAGAGGAAGGUGAAGUCGUAACA
Molecule: ribosomal RNA, 321 nt
Filed under: uncultured eukaryote
Lineage: Eukaryota
Description: partial 18S ribosomal RNA
Rfam family: Eukaryotic small subunit ribosomal RNA
Source: RNAcentral